Molecule: long non-coding RNA, 684 nt
Organism: Chenopodium quinoa (quinoa)
Lineage: Eukaryota; Viridiplantae; Streptophyta; Magnoliopsida; Caryophyllales; Amaranthaceae
Exons: 2
Source: RefSeq, a predicted model, not a curated record
GGGAGGGAUCCGGUAAGAACCCCUUCUUAUAUAAGAACCCUAGUUAUAUAAGAACCAAUCUCAACCGUAGGAUUAGAUUGGGAUGAGCGGUCAGGAUUAAAACAAAAUAAAAACCAUCUUUCCUCAAAAAACACACAACCUAACUUUCUCUCUCUUCGAUUAUCGUAGUAGUUCAUGACUUUCUCUCUCCUCAAACUCCUAAAAAUCUCCAUAGAAGCUGCAAUUUGAAGGAUUUUCAACAUUUUUCCUUCAUUUUUUUUUGCAUAAAUUCAACAUCAAGGAUCAUAAAACAAGUCAAAUUGUUCAAUAAAAGUACAAAUUUUGGCGAUAAAGCCCUAGAUUUCGCAAUUUUCAAAUUCAGAGAAGGCGGCAGAGGAUCAACGAGAAAAUGAAAGCACUGCAAAAAUUGAUUCCCAACUCCAAUAAGGUGCUACUAAAUCUACUUAUAAUUAUUAAUUAUUUUUCCAUUUUAUCAAUGUUUUUUACUACAAUAUUUUUUUUUAUGGCAGACGGAUAAGGCUUCAAUGUUGGAUGAAGCUAUCGAAUAUUUAAAACAGCUUCAGCUACAAGUUCAGGUGUGUUAUCUUACAAAAUUUGAUGAUUGUAUAUUUUAUGCAGAGGAUUGAAAUACAAGUACAAUGUAUUUCCUGUCGUCACUUAGUUUAAUUGAUUAGCAUUAUUAUA